Molecule: long non-coding RNA, 2479 nt
Organism: Quercus lobata
Lineage: Eukaryota; Viridiplantae; Streptophyta; Magnoliopsida; Fagales; Fagaceae
Exons: 4
Source: RefSeq, a predicted model, not a curated record
ACCAGGAUUGAUGCUGUUCCGAGCAGAACAUUAUCCUGGAUAAGCAUAUCCUUACUUUAUAUAUUCAAGUGUCUUGCUCUUUUUUAGACUAUUUUCUCUGAAACUCUGACCCUCUUGAAAACCCAAGUUUUGCAUUGGAGUUCUAUCCAAAUGAAAGAUAUGGCUGCUGCCAGGAAGAGAUGGGAAGCUCUGGUGUUUUGAAUCCCAAAGUAACAGCAUUUACGUCUUUCUUUUGGGCCUGGAGUAGAUGGGUUAGUCAGGGAAGAAAAAGUGAAAGUUCCUACACCUGGGGAAGCUGGGUAUGCAAUUCAGCUAUCUAACAAAACCCCACCUGAUGUUCAUCCCUCUACUGAACACAAAAUGGUGGACAGGUCUACUCUCACUUUUUGUUUUUGAAUAUUAUUUUUGGCUCAAUGCUUAUCAGUUCCACAUAAACAUGCAAUAUCAUUCAACAAAUUUUAUGCGUUUUAUAGUUUAUUUGGUGAUUGUUGUGAUAGCUUGCAAUAGUGGUAAAGACCAUAUAUUGCCCGCAUCUUAUCCAAUUAUUGUGGUAGAUUAAUUAGUCUCAUGUAAAUAUUUCUCAUUGCUAAACUGGUUCUCUCAAUUUUUUACUCUUGUACUAUGUUCUAUUCCUUUUUCCUUUUCUUAGGACAUUAUUACAAAGAAUAAUGUCUCUACCAUGACUCCUGAAUUAUCAUUUCCUUUUCCCUCUUUUGAUGGCAUGGGUUAAAGGCUCAACCUGUAUUCCAAUCUUUGAUGUUGAUAACAAGCUUGACGCUGGAACUCAGUUGCGACAUAUCACAACUUUUGUGAUGGGUAUCGAACAACUAUUUCUAUCCUGCCUUCCAUACUUGAUUUUGGUUUUAAUGCAUCAGUAGUAAAGGAUCACAUCAUGAAUACUUAUAUAUAUAAAAAAAAAGGAUCACAUCAUGAAUGGUCAUUGAUUAACAUCAAUAUAAUGUCUCACUUGCAUCAAGAUAGCAGUAAUUGUGGUGUUUGGAGGCUUGUAUGACAUGGAAUAUGCCAUAUUUGACUAUAAUGAAAACGUAGUUCCUUUGAAACUUUUUUUGGGUUUUAAUAAAAUAGGGAACCUUUCAAAAGAAUAUCCCUUUGGAGUCACCUCAAACUAGUAAGACUUAUGGGUAACUGACCCCAUCUGCCAAAACUAGGUGCCAAGUAAUCUAGGUGCGUUCACCCUUGAUGGGUUUAGCAUUUUAUGCUCAUGCCCAAGAGACUCCUUUGAAUUAUUAGGAUAAGUUUCCUUGGAGGCAUGGACUUUGUAUGUAUUAUGUUUCGUUAUUCUCAGAAAAUCAUUACAUUCACGAAUAUAUAACAAAGAUUUUAUGUUGUCUGCUUUAUUAUGUCUCCCAACUUUUCACACAGGCCCUGCUUAUUCUUGUAUUGUGUGAAUAUAUAUAAUAGUAUAUUUAGAAUUGAAUGUGUGGAAUUGACGGGACUGUUUGAAAUUCAAGGAAUGUCCGAAUAACGCUAAACCAUUGGCUGAAAAGGCUUUUAGUAAUGGUGAUAGAAGUUAAUUUCUUAGCCUAUGAAGAUUGCACUAGUCAAUGCUUAUAUUUUCUUCACAAAAACUAUCUUAUGGAGAGAUCUUAGCGAUCCAUUAAAGCCAUAGAGGCUGAGUCAUCACUGAGCAUGAAACACUAAUAUAAGGGAUAAGCAAGUAUAAUGUAUACUUCCAGUUUUGCAGAUUUUUAUUUAUUUAUUUAUUUUUUUAUGAAUUCAAUUCAGUUGUAAACCAUGUGAUCUCUCUGCAGACAGUGGCUGUCCCUUGGUCAGGUUCUAUAUUACUUACCUCUGUUGCUUGUUUAGGUUUGAAUUCAUGUUCUUGGAAUAACAUGAAUUCCAACCUAAACAAGCAACAGAGGUAAGUCAUUUAGAACUUGACUAGAUGUUGAAUAACAUGAAUUCCAACCUAAACAAGCAACAGAGGUAAGUCAUUUAGAACUUGACUAGAUGUUGAAGAAUCAUACUUGAAUAUAAUAAUGGGUGUAACAAACAGAAUGUUGUAUGCUAUUUCAUCACCUCUCAUUCUGGACUAUAUUACACUGGCAGAUCUCUAUAGCUGCUUGUGAACUAAUGUAUAAUGCUGGAGAGGAAGUAUUUGUUAUGAGUGGUCGAGGGACUUCUUUUUUAUAAUGAUUCUAUUUCACGUUCUUUCUUAUUUUUAUGAUUAGUAAUAAAUUCCCUUUUCUUUCUUAUUGCUUUCUGUCGAUCAAAGAUGAAUUGGUGAAUAAUAUAAUGAGUUUCAUCUUGUGUGGUGCAGGAUCUUAUGACUUUUCAGAGAAGGUCCUCAACCUUUUAAACUUUGUGGAAUUGGCAGGGGCUUUGAAUUUCUUGGAGUACUUUGUUUUUCUCCUCUUUUGGCAUGGAUGAACAGAUGACUAAAUCUUUGGAUUAUCAUUUGCAUGAUCCAAGGGAAAGCGUGGUUUGGCAAUCACAAUCAGAUCAGCUAUCCUAUGCA